RNAcentral lists this ribosomal RNA (756 nucleotides) under uncultured Hydnum. RNAcentral's name for it is "eukaryotic LSU rRNA". The stretch from base 233 to 386 matches the Rfam family "5.8S ribosomal RNA". The record is from RNAcentral. Lineage: Eukaryota; Fungi; Basidiomycota; Agaricomycetes; Cantharellales; Hydnaceae.
AAGUCGUAACAAGGUUUCCGUAGGUGAACCUGCGGAAGGAUCAUUAAUGGAUUUACAGAGGGUUGAUGCUGGUAGUUUAUCUACAUGUGCUCACUCUUCUGAUUUAUUUACACCUGUGCACUUAAUUUUUUUUCAAGGGUCAGGGUAGAACCUGCCUUUGGGACUUAUAAGCCCCUAACCCCUAUUUUGGAACAAUGGAUGUUUAUCUGCCGCAAGGCCAAAUUUUUGAUACAACUUUUAACAACGGAUCUCUUGGCUCUCGCAUCGAUGAAGAACGCAGCGAAAUGCGAUAAGUAAUGUGAAUUGCAGAAUUCAGUGAAUCAUCGAAUCUUUGAACGCAUCUUGCGCUCUCUGGUAUUCCGGGGAGCACACCUGUUCGAGUGUCAUUAAGACUCUCAAAUAAAGGUGGCUUUUGCAGCCAUCUCUGUUUGGACUUGGGCUUUGCUGCAUUAAUGUGGCUAGUCUUAAAUCUAUUAGCUGAUCCUUGUUGGGAUUUUGGUUCUACUCAGUGUGAUAAUUAAUCUAGCAUUGAGGACAGUCUCAGAACUGGCCAUAGCUCUCUCUGGAUUGCUUCUAAAGUGUCUUGGGGACAAUUGCUUAAUUUCUGACCUCGAAUCAGGUGGGACUACCCGCUGAACUUAAGCAUAUCAAUAAGCGGAGGAAAAGAAACUAACAAGGAUUCCCUUAGUAACUGCGAGUGAAGUGGGAUGAGCUCAAAUUUGAAAUCUGGUAGUCCUUGGCUGCCCGAGUUGUAAU